Non-coding RNA from Myodes glareolus (Bank vole), 550 nucleotides. The record is from RefSeq and is a predicted model, not a curated record. Lineage: Eukaryota; Metazoa; Chordata; Mammalia; Rodentia; Cricetidae.
UGUGUACUGAGGAAAGCUGCAGACCUCGAGUGGAACUGGCCCUCGAGAAAGGCCCCAUGUGACACAGAAGGCUGACCUAUAAAGGCAGGGUUACACAAAUGUUGUAGAGACAGAUGCUGCUGCUAUGUUUCCCAGAUGCUGGAUGAGGAGCUAGAAGGGGGAAUAAUGAAACCAUUACACUCAUCUAAUGUUCGUCUUUGUUGCAAGCUUUUGAUAAAUAAAGCCCUGCUCUAAAAGAGACUCUACACAUUGGAAAGGAACAACUUUCACCUGCCCAGACAGUCCACAAGAGUGAAUCCAAUGAACUUCUCAGUCAGGCUGCGACGCUAUUUUCACUGUGGAGCUAGGGAAACCAAAUAAUAACAAACUAAAGGGAUUUGUUCAAGGUCUAUGGGAGAUGCAGGAAUUGGGGGUGUCAAAAUAGCUUGUGCUAAUUAUCAUUUGACUAUUCUCUUCUUCAUUUGCAUUUUCUUCAACAGUGUGUUUUUUUCUCUGAAGUAGAAAAAAGUGAUUCUGAAAACCUUUUUCCAAAUAAAGCAAGCUUUGGGUA